This 203-nucleotide ribosomal RNA is filed under the name uncultured bacterium. RNAcentral describes it as "partial 16S ribosomal RNA". It matches the Rfam family "Bacterial small subunit ribosomal RNA", at positions 1290 to 1500 of the family's 1533-position model. The record is from RNAcentral.
AGUUCGGAUCGGAGUCUGNAACCCGACUCCGUGAAGCUGGAUUCGCUAGUAAUCGCGCAUCAGCCAUGGCGCGGUGAAUACGUUCCCGGGCCUUGUACACACCGCCCGUCAAGCCAUGGGAGCCGGGAGUGCCUGAAGGCCGUGACCGCAAGGAUCGACCUAGGGCAAAACCGGUGACUGGGGCUAAGUCGUAACAAGGUACC